This 368-nucleotide ribosomal RNA is filed under the name uncultured bacterium. RNAcentral describes it as "bacterial SSU rRNA". It matches the Rfam family "Bacterial small subunit ribosomal RNA", at positions 553 to 919 of the family's 1533-position model. The record is from RNAcentral.
UAUGGGCGUAAAGCUCGCGUAGGCGGUCUGCUAAGUCAGGUGUGAAAUCCCGGGGCUCAACCCCGGAAGGGCAUUUGAUACUGUAGGGCUUGAGUAUGGGAGAGGUAAGUGGAAUUCCUGGUGUAGCGGUGAAAUGCGUAGAUAUCAGGAAGAACACCGGUGGCGAAGGCGGCUCCCUGGACCAAUACUGACGCUGAAGCGCGAAGGCGUGGGGAGCAAACAGGAUUAGAUACCCUGGUAGUCCACGCCGUAAACGAUGAACACUAGGUGUUGGGGGUAUUGACCCCUGCUCUGCCGAAUUCAACGCAUUAAGUGCCCCGCCUGGGGAGUACGGUCGCUAGCUUAAAACUCAAAGGAAUUGACGGACG